AACGAACGCUGGCGGUAUGCUUAACACAUGCAAGUCGAACGAACAAAAUUGGGGCUUGCUCCAAUUUUAGUGAGUGGCAAACGGGUGAGUAACACGUGGGAAUCUACCUAUCAGUACGGAAUAACAUUUGGAAACAGAUGCUAAUACCGUAUAUUCUCCAAGGAGGAAAGAUUUAUCGCUGAUAGAUGAGCCCGCGUAAGAUUAGGUAGUUGGUAGGGUAAUGGCCUACCAAGCCGACGAUCUUUAGCUGGUCUGAGAGGAUGAUCAGCCGCACUGGGACUGAGACACGGCCCAGACUCCUACGGGAGGCAGCAGUGGGGAAUAUUGGACAAUGGGCGAACGCCUGAUCCAGCAAUACCGCGUGAAUGAUGAAGGCCUUAGGGUUGUAAAGUUCUUUUAGUUGGAAAGAUAAUGACGGUACCAACAGAAAAAGCCCCGGCUAACUCCGUGCCAGCCGCCGCCGUAA
Molecule: ribosomal RNA, 466 nt
Filed under: uncultured bacterium
Lineage: Bacteria
Description: partial 16S ribosomal RNA
Rfam family: Bacterial small subunit ribosomal RNA
Source: RNAcentral